AACAGCAGGUCUGGGACAGGUAGCACGUCCGGUGAACAGGUCAGGGUUCCAUAGAGGCUUCCAUUUUCUCUAAUGCCAAUUUGGUUAUGUGUGGUGUACCGCAGGGCAGUCGGCUUGGACCAUUAUUGUUUCUGUGUUUACUAAUGACCUUCCACUGACCUUGAAUCAAGCCUGUGUGUGUCCAUGUAUGCUGAUAACUCAACAGUAUACACGUCAGCUGCGACAGUAAAAUAAGUAGCUGACACCCUUAACAUAGAGCUACAGUCAAUUUUCGAAUGGGUAACUAGCAAUAGGCCUGUGCUAAAUAUCUCAAAACUAAAAGCAUAUUUCUUGGGACAAAAUCACUCGCUCAACCCUAACCCUCAUAUGGAUCUAUUAUUGAAUAAUGUGUCUAUUGCGAAACUUGAGACUAAACUGCUGGGUGUCCUCUUUGAUAUCAAGCUAUCAUGGUCAAAACAUAAUGACUUAAUGGGAUACUAAAGUGGGAAGCGGUCUUUCCAUCCUAAGGUGUUUCACGAUAUCCCCGUUCAACCAGACAGCCCCUAGUUUGGACUACUGUCCAGUUGGGUGGUCAGGUGCAGCAAAGAAGGACUUAGGCAAAUUGCAGUUGGUCCAUAACAGAGCAGCACGUAUUGCACUUAGUUGUAUACGGAGGACGAAUGUCAAUGAUAUGCACGUCAAUCUCUCCUGGCUCAAAGAGAUUGACUGCAUCACUAUUAGUCUUUGUGCGCGGUAUUGAUGUGUUGAUGAUACCGAACUGUCUGUUCAAGUAGUUGACACACAGUUCGGACACUCAUCGGUUACAACACAAGGAAAGUAGGAUGGAACACAAGACAUGCAACCAGAGGUCUCUUCACGGUCCCCAGGUCCAGAACAGAGGCUGGGAAACACACAGUUAUAAUAGAGCCAUGACUACAUGGAACUCUCUGCCACCCCAGGUAACUCAAGCUAGCAAUACAAACAGAUGAAAAAAUACCUUAUGGUAUGACGGGGAAUGUGAAGAGACACACACAGACAGUUGUAUGCAUUUUGUAUUAUAUUUUGUAUUGUAUUAUGUAGUGAUAUGUGAUACUUGGUUGUGAUACGACUGUGACAUGUGGUUGUCUCGCCUGGCUAUCUUUAGAUGAAUGCACUAGCUGUGGGUCGCUGGGAACGUCUGCUGAAUGACUAAAUUGUAAUGUAAAUCUAGUGCUAUGUAUAUUUAUCUUUAUUAUGUAUUUUAUUUGUUGUGUUUUGUUUCCUGUUUGGACCCCAGGAAGCGUAGCCUUGGCGACAGCUAAUUGGGGAACCUAAUACAUACUAAAUACUAAAUAUCAGUGUGUUAGGAGGGAGGUGUGCAAGAAGCAGGAUGCGUGCCUUCAUUUUAACCCUAGCUUAACCCACUACUUUCUGGAUCCCUGUACCAUCCC
Non-coding RNA from Salvelinus sp. IW2-2015, 1409 nucleotides. The record is from RefSeq and is a predicted model, not a curated record. NCBI's taxonomy places the organism in Eukaryota, Metazoa, Chordata, Actinopteri, Salmoniformes, Salmonidae.